UGUGGAAGCGUAGUAAUACGUUAAGCUAACCGAUACUAAUUGACCGUGAGGCUUGAUCCUAUAAUUUUAAAGCUUUUGUA
This 80-nucleotide ribosomal RNA is filed under the name Burkholderiales bacterium. RNAcentral describes it as "partial 23S ribosomal RNA". The record is from RNAcentral. Lineage: Bacteria; Pseudomonadati; Pseudomonadota; Betaproteobacteria; Burkholderiales.